Molecule: ribosomal RNA, 426 nt
Filed under: uncultured bacterium
Lineage: Bacteria
Description: bacterial SSU rRNA
Rfam family: Bacterial small subunit ribosomal RNA
Source: RNAcentral
CAGUGGGGAAUAUUGGACAAUGGGCGCAAGCCUGAUCCAGCAAUGCCGCGUGGGUGAUGAAGGCCUUCGGGUUGUAAAGCCCUUUUGGCGGGGACGAUGAUGACGGUACCCGCCGAAUAAGCCCCGGCUAACUUCGUGCCAGCAGCCGCGGUAAUACGAAGGGAGCUAGCGUUGUUCGGAAUUACUGGGCGUAAAGGGCGCGUAGGCGGUUUCGAUAGUCGGGCGUGAAAUCCCCAGGCUCAACUUGGGAAUUGCGUUCGAUACUGCGAGACUUGAGUGAGGGAGAGGAUAGUGGAAUUCCCAGUGUAGAGGUGAAAUUCGUAGAUAUUGGGAAGAACACCAGUGGCGAAGGCGGCUAUCUGGACCUCAACUGACGCUGAGGCGCGAAAGCGUGGGGAGCAAACAGGAUUAGAUACCCCGGUAGUC